CAAUAGCGUAUAUUUAAGUUGUUGCAGUUAAAAAGCUCGUAGUUGGAUUUCGGUUAAGAGCGACCGGUCCGCCGUUUGGUGUGCACUGGUUGGUUUUAACUUCCUGUAGAGGACGUGCUCUGGGUUUAACGACCUGGACUCGGAGUCUACGUGGUUACUUUUAAAAAAUUAGAGUGUUCAAAGCGGGCUUACGCUUGAAUAUUUCAGCAUGGAAUAACACUAUAGGACUCCUGUCCUAUUUCGUUGGUCUCGGGACGGGAGUAAUGAUUAAGAGGAACAGUUGGGGGCAUUCGUAUUUCAUUGUCAGAGGUGAAAUUCUUGGAUUUAUGAAAGACGAACUUCUGCGAAAGCAUUUGCCAAGGAUGUUUUCAUUA
RNAcentral lists this ribosomal RNA (374 nucleotides) under uncultured eukaryote. RNAcentral's name for it is "partial 18S ribosomal RNA". It matches the Rfam family "Eukaryotic small subunit ribosomal RNA", at positions 592 to 975 of the family's 1831-position model. The record is from RNAcentral.